GAAAAGUUUGAGCUUCCUUAGACAUUAGUAUUUAUUAUUUUAUUAUCAACCAAGUUUCUCUUUUUGCUCUAAAAAAGGGUUAAUUAAAAAAGAAAGCAUCAUUGAGCUACUCCAACUCUUUUGGAGUUCUCUUUUGCUGAAAUAUAUGUGGCUUCCUCCUUCGAAACUAUCAAUUGUCAUUGAGUGACCGUUCAUCUAUACAUGUCUACAAAUAUGAGACAUAAGAUUGUCAGUUGAUCUGGGAGUGGAGCAAUGGCCACUGCUGUGAAGGUGAGGGAAAGAUAAAAUUAUAUCCAGUGAUUACUGUGCCAUCAUCUCUUUUGAUAAUUAUGAAGAAUAACUAUUAAAAAGUAAGCAUCAAAGAAAAUCUUAUCUUAGGGACUAUGCUUAAAUAAGCUUGGGAUCUGAGUCCUAGGGAACAAUCACUUCUUUGUGCAAGCUGUUUUCUGCUAAACCCCUUAUUUCCAAUCACAGAAUUAAAGGCAAUAAAGAAAUCAAAUUAUAUGAAGAAUAUUUACCUGUAAGAAUCUUUCAAGGAUGUUACACACUUCAAGACUGAAAGAAACUUUCAGGAUUCAAAAAUGAAAUAUGAAAGCCAAAUGGAACAAUGGAAGGAGAAAAGAAUAGAAGAAACAAAAAAUUAAGUGGAGUCCAAAGAGGAGCCAAAGAAUCUGUUCUUCUAUGCAAUUUUCAGGCCAUAGAUCAAGGGAUUCAGCCUGGGAAUCACUGCAGUGUAAAACACCAUGGCUGCUUUGCCAGUAUCCACACUGUUGGAAAAACUGGGCCUGCAAUAAGUGAAAAGUAUGAUUCCCUGCAAGACAGCAAUCACUGUGUGGUGGGAGGCACAGGUAGAAAAGGCUUCGCACCUUCCCUCUGCAGAGCGUAUACUCAGGAUGGCGAUGAGAAUAAACCAGUAGGAAGUGAGGAUGAUCACGAUGGUGACAAUUUCACUGAAAGUGGCCCCAAUUAAUAAUGGACAUGACAUAGCAAGCAAGAGUAAAGAGAGGGGGUAAAUCACAAAAGAAGUGGUGACUACAUUUGACCUACAGGAUGGGAUUUCAAGAGCUAAACACAAGUAAACCAAAGAACACACAGUUCCACAGAUGUAGAAGCUAGAGACCAGGACCAUACAAAAUUUCUGGGACAUGGAGAGCAUGUACAGCAGUGAACUACAGAUGGGCAAAAAGCAGUCACAAGCCAUCACAGUCAGCAGGAAGACCUCAGUGACUGCACACAUGCAAAGCAAAUAGAAUUGCACCAUGCAUCCCAGGAAGGAAACUGAUUUUUCCUUGUUUAAGAUAUUGGAAAGCAUCUUUGGCACGAUGAUCACGGAAUUGCAAAAAUCCACAAAGGACAAGUGGGUGAGAAAAAAGUACAUGUAAGUGUGAAGUCCAGAGCUGACCUGAUUCAGUGCAAUCAUGCCCAGGUUGGCCCAAACUGUGACUCCAUAUACGAGAAGGAACAGAGGGAGAGAAAGACUCUCAGCUCAGGGUCAUGUGAUACUCCAGGAAGAAUGAACUCUGUCACAGUGGUACCGUUCCCCUCGCUCAUUUCCACCAUAUGUCAGGAUGGGAAACCAAACGAUGUUUUGCGUUUCUUCUAAAAAGAGAACAAGAGAGAAAACAACACAUUUAUAUUAACUUUGGAAAAAUAUAACAUUGACAGUGAUUUAAGAUACAGUUGUCAAAUAAUUCAAAAUUUUCAAUGUCUCAGUGGAUCUCACUGAUCAAAAUAAGUUUAAGUAUCAGCAGAAACCUAUAUGAUUCCCAACUGUUAUCUGCUAUGAUAAAUUGGGUUGAUGAAUUAAAUUAGGUGUUUUGUUGGAAUCUGAAACAGGUUCAAUGAUUUUACAGCCUCAUGGAGAUAAACUACUGUUCUUUGAAAAAUGUAGCAAUUUCUGUCCAUGUAGGGUGACAGCUAUUGUGAUCCUAUAUAGUGUACACUAUCUUUUUAGAUUAGUUUAUCAGUAGCAUAAAUUUUGCAGGGGGUGAGGAGGUCCUGUACAAUUUCCAUGCAGGGACUGAGACCAAUUUUUUUGAGCUUAGUGGCUCACAAUGAUUCUUUAACUCUAGAAUUAUGCAGAAUGAAAAAUAGAGAAUUAAAAUAUAUUCUAAAAGCCAUCAUCAUUUUUACUUAUCAAAUUAGCAAAGUAAUGUAGUUAAUUAUAAUGAUAAUAAUCUAUGUCAAUAAUGACUCAGAAAGAUGUAACUGUUGUAUACACUUUUCUGGAAAGCCAUUAGGCAACGUAUGUCCAAAAUCUUAACCCUGACGACAGUAAAAGCUAUACGAUAUUUUUUAUGAGAGGUUUUCUUCUUUUUUUUAAAUCAGAAUUUAAGUUUAAGUUUUUUUUAUUAUUUUUUAUUUUUUUAAAGAUUGGCACCUGAGGUAACAUCUGUUGCCAAUAUCUCUUUUCUCCCCCCCUUCUUCCUUCUUCUUCUUCUUCUCUUUCUUCUUCUUCUCCUCCUCCUCCUCCUCCUCCUUCUUCUUCUCCCCACAGCCCCUCAGCACAUAGUUGUAUAUUCUAGUUGUAAGUCGCUCUGGUUGUGCUCUGUGGGACGCCACAUCAGCAUGGCUUGAUGAGCUGUGCCACAUCCAUGCCCAGCAUCAGAAUCAGCGAAACCCUGGGCCACUGAAAUGGAGUGAGUGAGCUUAAACACUGUGCCAUGGGGCUGGCCCUGAGAUUUUCUUCUUGUGCAUCCUGAAACUACUGUCACAAAACCUAUCUUCCUGAAGGAGAGAGUCUCAUGACAGAAAAACUAAAAAACUAUCUAUAAAGAGUACCAUUGGCAGUGAAGUUUCAUGUCAUCUGGGCCACCCACUCACAGGAGAGCUGCUUUGCUUACCUAUUUGUCUUAGAUUUAAAAACAUGGCAGGUUUUUUUAAAAACUAAUUUAAAAAUAAAUAUUUUAUUGAAUUUGAUUUCAUGGUCAUUAUCCCUAAAUUGAAUAACAUCAAUAUGAAGCUCUGAGUUUUGAUGAAAUGUAUUCAAAACACAUACGAUAGUGCUGUUUUAGUAAAAUAUUGUAUUGGCAAGGUUCAAUGCAAUCAGCAGUAUGUUAAAUUUUCUAAACUUUUUAAUUCCAUCUAUUUUUUGGAAGAUUAAUCCUGAGCUAACUGCUGCCAAUCCUCCUCUAUUUGCUGAGGAAGACCGGCCCUGAACCAACAUCCGUGCCCAUCUUCCUCUACUUUACAUGUGGGACGCCUACCACAGCGUGGCUUGCCAAGUGGUGCCAUGUCCACACCCGGGAUCCGAACUGUCGAACCCAUGGCUGGCAAAGCAGAACGUGGGAACUUAACUGCUGCACCACUGGGCUUGCCCCUAAUUCCAUUGUUUUAAUCAAGGUGCCUCCAAGUGGAAUAACAGAUAUACUUAAUUGUUAUAUGAUAAGAUGUGGAAGGUCUUUUGGUAACCUUUUCAGAAAUUAAGAAAGUGAGUGUUUCUAAUGAUUGCAGAACAAACCACUCCAAAACAUAUUAAUUAAAAUCAACAACUAAAGAUUAUUGUGAGAAAUUGGCACGUAACUUGGAUGGAGUUGAAAGAGUUGAGUGAUAUUCCUAUUUUAGCACAAUCUCUGACAGUUUCUAGUCCCAUUUCCAUUUAAUAUGACCAAGCAGUCUCCGUAUUUUCACCUAUUAAAAAGUGGAAAUAGAAAUGAUGCUGAACCCUCUUGCUUUCUAACAUUGUGAUAUCUUUCCAAGGAUACAUUAAUUAAUUGAAAUAAAUAAUCCAAACAUAUAUUCAUAAUAUUUCUCACACAAAGAAUAUUUCCAGGGCUCAGCCCCAUGGCUGAGUGGUUAAAGUCCUGCGCACUCCACUUCAGCGGCCCAGGUUCACAGCCCAAAUCCUGGGCGCAAAUGUACUCCAGUCCCCAACCACACCGUGGAGGUAACCCACAUACAAAAAAAUAGAGGAAGAUUGGCACAGAUGUUAGCUCAGGCUUAUUCUUCCUCAGCAAAAUAAAAUAUUUCCAAAAAUAUUUUUUCAAUUUUGAUUGAUUAUAUUUUAUCCAAAUUUGCAAUGCAAUUAUAUUUUAAUUAGUGGUAUAAUUAUUAUUGAAUCAUUACAAGGUUAACUUAAUACAGAAAGAAAAACUUUUGAUUUUGCCAAAAGCAUUAUGAAAUAAAAAGUAUGAAUCUGAUUAAUAGCAUUGUAGUGAUCAAUGGGAGGAGUAGGAUUGAAUGUAAAUUCAGGAGAAGGAAAGGCACAAACAUGACUGUUUUGGAUGUCAUUUAUUUAUGUAUUCUAAAUGGAUAUGCAAUGGAAAUUACAGUUUUUGUUAUUUAAGUUUAUGAUGAAAUAUUGUAUAUGUAAAAUUAAAUUCUUCGAAUAUAUACCUUUUCAAAACUAAUUGAGAAGCGUAUGACCAAAAGAUGUGAAGACUACUAAUAUGAGUCAUGUUGUAUAUAGAAGCAACAGAAUCUACUAUAAAGAAUCUGAACUGUCACAACCUGAUAAUGGAAAACAUAUUGUAUGCCAGUGUUUAAUGGAAAGUGUGCUUCUGAUAUGUCUGGAGUCUUGAAUGAUUUCAUGAAUUCUAUCAACAAUUGCUUUUACAAUGUUGGCGAGGUCACUUAAGCAUCAUAGGCCUUGGUUUCUUCAAAGUAAAGGCAAACGGUUUGUGGUAAUUCUAUCAAAAAAUGUGCUCAUCCUUGGUGCAAGCAGGACAGAAGUAAAAUAAACUUCUCUAAAAAAAGGCAUUAACCAUUACGGAUUCAGUUUAAGAUUAAUAUAAAUAAUUUCUUAAUUUCAAAGAAAAUUAGAAAUUGCAUAAUUGCUAAAUGUAUAACAAAGAUAAAUUUGUAAAUAGCUAGAGAAACAGAAGUCAAUAGAAGAGAAAAGCAUUCCCUCAUCAGACAUCCAAUAUCUAAAACACUAUUUUAUUUUUCCAUAUAGAAUGGUUAUUUAAUUGAUUCCUUAUUAUAUAAUGUAUAUGAAUGGAACAUUUCAAUAAUGAACAUAAGGUUAAAAUAACAUGAACAUUCCAAAUAACUUUAUUGAAUCCAUAUAAAAUUGUUCCCCACGUUAGAUUUUCUUCCUUACUAAAAUACCUGGAAAUUUAUUUCUUCCAUUAUAUUGAUGAUUAGUUUGGAAUUUUAUCUAGACAUAUUGAUUAAAGAGAAGGAGAAGGACGUAUAAUUUAUUCAAGCAUAAGUGAGUUAUUAAUGUUAAAGAAAUCUAGAAUUUUUAAUUUACCAGAUCAAAUAGGUCUUAAUAGUAAUGAAUGCCUGCUUUUCAUUUUAUUUUGAAUAAAGUUAUAUAGGUGAUUUGUUUCCAACACUUGAGGUGACUCCAGACACUUUUUUUUUUUAAGAUGGGAGUUCAAUUGAGAAGGAUUCAGAAAUUACCCUCAUGUUCAGGAAAAAGAAUCAAGGAAUUGAUUAUGGUUUUCAUGUGUUUAUAGGCAGAAUGAAAGUAUGAAGUACAGAUUGGGUUGAUACCGUGCUUACUUUUUGCCUAUAAGAUUUCUUGAGAGGCAAUCUAUUAUUUCUAUGCCUCUGGUGGAGUCUAUCACAGCUUAUCAUCCUACCAUACUUGAGCUCCUUUGAAACACAUUCAGAAUAAAGGCCGUGUCUUAUCAACUUUCCAUUCAUGCCAAGUAACCUGUAUACACAAUAAUAUACACACACAUGUGCAUG
RNAcentral lists this long non-coding RNA (5637 nucleotides) under Equus caballus (horse). Its description in RNAcentral is "lncRNA (ENSECAG00000053979.1)". Lineage: Eukaryota; Metazoa; Chordata; Mammalia; Perissodactyla; Equidae. The record is from RNAcentral.